AUUGAACGCUGGCGGCAGGCCUAACACAUGCAAGUCGAGCGGUAGCACAGGGAGCUUGCUCCUGGGUGACGAGCGGCGGACGGGUGAGUAAUGUCUGGGAAACUGCCUGAUGGAGGGGGAUAACUACUGGAAACGGUAGCUAAUACCGCAUAACGUCGCAAGACCAAAGAGGGGGACCUUCGGGCCUCUUGCCAUCAGAUGUGCCCAGAUGGGAUUAGCUAGUAGGUGGGGUAACGGCUCACCUAGGCGACGAUCCCUAGCUGGUCUGAGAGGACGACCAGCCACACUGGAACUGAGACACGGUCCAGACUCCUACGGGAGGCAGCAGUGGGGAAUAUUGCACAAUGGGCGCAAGCCUGAUGCAGCCAUGCCGCGUGUAUGAAGAAGGCCUUCGGGUUGUAAAGUACCUUCAGCGGGGAGGAAGGUGUUGAGGUUAAUAACCUCAGCAAUUGACGUUACCCGCAGAAGAAGCACCGGCUAACUCCGUGCCAGCAGCCGCGGUAA
Molecule: ribosomal RNA, 504 nt
Filed under: uncultured bacterium
Lineage: Bacteria
Description: partial 16S ribosomal RNA
Rfam family: Bacterial small subunit ribosomal RNA
Source: RNAcentral